GGGCCUAUAGCUCAGUUGGUAGAGCAGCUGACUCAUAAUCAGCCACGCCCUGGUUCGAGUCCAGGUGGGCCCA
RNAcentral lists this transfer RNA (73 nucleotides) under Deltaproteobacteria bacterium CG2_30_63_29. RNAcentral's name for it is "tRNA-Met". It matches the Rfam family "tRNA". From Rfam's summary of the family: Transfer RNA (tRNA) molecules are approximately 80 nucleotides in length. Their secondary structure includes four short double-helical elements and three loops (D, anti-codon, and T loops). RNAcentral also lists the same sequence under 1 other name. The record is from RNAcentral. Lineage: Bacteria; Deltaproteobacteria.